Molecule: ribosomal RNA, 252 nt
Filed under: uncultured bacterium
Lineage: Bacteria
Description: partial small subunit ribosomal RNA
Rfam family: Bacterial small subunit ribosomal RNA
Source: RNAcentral
AGGACGAACGCUGGCGGCGUGCUUAACACAUGCAAGUCGAGCGGAAAGGCCCUUCGGGGUACUCGAGCGGCGAACGGGUGAGUAACACGUGAGCAACCUGCCCUUAGCUCCGGGAUAGCUCCGGAAACCGGAAUUAAUACCGGAUACGACCACGGCCGACAUCUGCUGUGGUGGAAAGGAUUCCGGCUAAGGAUGGGCUCGCGGCCUAUCAGCUUGUUGGUGGGUAACGGCCUACCAAGGCGACGACGGGUA